RNAcentral lists this ribosomal RNA (253 nucleotides) under uncultured prokaryote. RNAcentral's name for it is "partial 16S ribosomal RNA". It matches the Rfam family "Bacterial small subunit ribosomal RNA", at positions 525 to 777 of the family's 1533-position model. The record is from RNAcentral.
ACAGAGGGGGCAAGCGUUGUUCGGAAUUACUGGGCGUAAAGGGCGCGUAGGUGGCCUUCUAAGUUGAACGUGAAAUCCCUGGGCUCAACCCAGGAACUGCGUCCAAGACUGGGAGGCUUGAAUCCGGGAGAGGGAUGCGGAAUUCCAGGUGUAGCGGUGAAAUGCGUAGAUAUCGGGAGGAACACCUGAGGCGAAGGCGGGCUACUGGGCCGAUACUGACGCUGAUGCGCGAAAGCCAGGGGAGCGAACGGGA